Molecule: long non-coding RNA, 1020 nt
Filed under: Betta splendens (Siamese fighting fish)
Lineage: Eukaryota; Metazoa; Chordata; Actinopteri; Anabantiformes; Osphronemidae
Description: lncRNA (ENSBSLG00000006201.1)
Source: RNAcentral
AUGUGCCCCUGUGCUCGCAGCGCGCUGACGAUGACACGUUCCAGCGCAGCUUGUGUGCGUUGCUGCUGUCGCCUCCAUCCUCACCCGCUCCAUCCUCACCCGCCUCCAUCCUCACCCGCCUCCACUCUCACCCGCCUCCAUCCUCACCCCGCCUCCACUCUCACCCGCUCCAUCCUCACCCGCUCCAUCCUCACCCGCCUCCAUCCUCACCCCGCUCAAUCCUCACCCGCUCCAUCCUCACCCCCCGCCAUCCUCACCCGCCUCCAUCCUCACCCCUGCCAUCCUCACCCGCUCAAUCCUCACCCGCCUCCAUCCUCACCCCGCUCCAUCCUCACCCGCCUCAAUCCUCACCCGCCUCCAUCCUCACCCGCUCAAUCCUCACCCGCCUCCAUCCUCACCCGCUCCAUCCUCACCCGCCUCAAUCCUCACCCGCCUCCAUCCUCACCCGCUCCAUCCUCACCCGCUCCAUCCUCACCCGCCUCCAUCCUCACCCGCCUCCAUCGCCAGCACCGGCGCGGAGGCUCGGACCCCGACAGCAUCCCAAUAUCCAAAACCUUCACUCAGCAGUUAUUGCAGCCGAAUGGAACCGGGGCCUUCAUCCCAAAACACAAAGCAAAAGGAGAGGAGACCAAAAAGAAAUCAGAAGUGAAGCUGCGGCCCUACGAGUGCAGCCUGUGCGGGAAGAAAGUCAUCUGGAAAGACAGCUUCCUCAGGCAUCAGGCGCGAUGCGAGAGACUGGCCUGCAGCUCCUCAGGUCACAGUAACAAUGCGAGCGCUGCGGCAGCAGAUACUGAGGAUGGCUACGGCUACGGGUGUGAUGAUGGCGAGGCCUUCCUCACCACCGCAGGACAGGUUAAAGUGGAGGAGGUGGACUUUCGCAGUGAGAUGGAGGGCAGGAUGGGGGGUCUGUUGGGCAGCGUGCCCGGCAUCAUGAACGAGCUGAGAACACAGUCGCAGCACCUGGACACCGGCAGCCAUGUUUUUAAAGAGGAGGCCAGUGAGAGCUUUAGUGGAAAUUAA